UCCCUGGUGGUCUAGUGGUUAAGACUCUGCACUCCCAGUGCAGGGGGCCUGAGUUUCAUCCCCAGUCAGGGAA
Molecule: transfer RNA, 73 nt
Filed under: Ovis aries (sheep)
Lineage: Eukaryota; Metazoa; Chordata; Mammalia; Artiodactyla; Bovidae
Rfam family: tRNA
About the family: Transfer RNA (tRNA) molecules are approximately 80 nucleotides in length. Their secondary structure includes four short double-helical elements and three loops (D, anti-codon, and T loops).
Source: Rfam by way of RNAcentral